UGGGGGAUAUUGCACAAUGGGCGAAAGCCUGAUGCAGCGACGCCGCGUGGGGGAUGAAGGCCUUCGGGUUGUAAACUUCUUUUGCUCUGAACAAGGCAUGCUAAUGGGUGUGUUGAGUGUAGGGGUUGAUUAGCGCCGGCUAACUACGUGCCAGCAGCCGCGGUAAUACGUAGGGCGCGAGCGUUGUCCGGAAUUAUUGGGCGUAAAGGGCUUGUAGGUGGCUGGUUGCGUCUGUCGUGAAAGCUCAUGGCUUAACUGUGGGUUUGCGGUGGGUACGGGCUGGCUUGAGUGCAGUAGGGGAGGAUGGAAUUCCUGGUGUAGCGGUGGAAUGCGCAGAUAUCAGGAGGAAUACCGGUGGCGAAGGCGGGUCUCUGGGCUGUUACUGACACUGAGGAGCGAAAGCAUGGGGAGCGAACAGG
RNAcentral lists this ribosomal RNA (419 nucleotides) under bacterium. Its description in RNAcentral is "partial 16S ribosomal RNA". It matches the Rfam family "Bacterial small subunit ribosomal RNA", at positions 355 to 776 of the family's 1533-position model. The record is from RNAcentral.